UUCGCCUUAGGUAGCAGAUUAAUUAGCCAACUUUGGGCGCCCCCAACUUCCAUGGUGUGACGGGCGGUGUGUACAAGACCCGGGAACGCAUUCACCGCGACAUGCUGAUUCGCGAUUACUAGCAACUCCGACUUCAUGCAGGCGAGUUGCAGCCCGCAAUCCGAACUGGGAUCGGUUUUGGUGAUUUGCUCUGCCUCGCGACUUUGCGUCUCAUUGUACCGACCAUUGUAGCACGUGUGUAGCCCAGAACAUAAGGGGCAUGAUGAUUUGACGUCAUCCCCACCUUCCUCCGAGUUGACCUCGGCAGUCUCGCCAGAGUCCUCAACUAAAUGUUAGUAACUGACGACAAGGGUUGCGCUCGUUGCGGGACUUAACCCAACAUCUCACGACACGAGCUGACGACAACCAUGCACCACCUGUCACCUCUGCCCGAAGGGGGAUCUCGGUUAAGAGAUCUUUCAGAGGGAUGUCAAGCCCUGGUAAGGUUUUUCGCGUUGCUUCGAAUUAAACCACAUGCUCCGCUGCUUGUGCGGGUCCCCGUCAAUUCCUUUGAGUUUUAGUGUUGACACCGUACUCCCCAGGCGGAGCACUUAUUGCGUUAACUGCGUCACUGAAUCCAUUCGGACCCAACAACUAGUGCUCAUCGUUUACGGCGUGGACUACCAGGGUAUCUAACCCUGUUUGCUCCCACGCUUUCGUGCCUCAGUGUCAGUUACUGUCCAGAAAGCCGCUUCGCCACCGUGUUCUUCCAAUAUCUACGCAUUUACCGCUAACUGGGAUUCCGCUUUCCCUCCAGCACUAAGUACCAAUUCCAGGCAAA
This 820-nucleotide ribosomal RNA is filed under the name uncultured rumen bacterium. RNAcentral's name for it is "partial 16S ribosomal RNA". The record is from RNAcentral.